AGUGAACGCUGGCGGCAUGCCUAACACAUGCAAGUCGAACGGUAACACAGUAAGGGCUGGCGACGACUGGUGGCGGGUGGAGGAAGGGUGAGGAAUACGUCCAGACCUAGUUGUUCGCGGGGGAAAACGUUUGGUAACACCCGCUACUACCUAAUACUAAAUGCAGGUGACAGCAAGGGCUCUUGCGAUCGUGCCCGCCUGUAUCAGAUGAUGUCGGAUUAGCUAGUUGGCGGGAUAAAGGCGCACCAAGGCGACGAUCCGUAGCUGGUCUGAGAGGAUGAUCAGCCACACUGGAACUGAGACACGGUCCAGACUCCUACGGGAGGCAGCAGUGGGGAAUAUUGGACAAUGGGCGAAAGCCUGAUCCAGCAAUGCCGCGUGGGUGAUGAAGGCCUUCGGGUUGUAAAGCCCUCUUGUUCGGAAAGAAAAGCCGCUGGCUAAUACCCGGCGGUCAUGACGGUACCGAAAGAAUAAGCACCGGCUAACUACGUG
This 492-nucleotide ribosomal RNA is filed under the name uncultured bacterium. RNAcentral's name for it is "partial 16S ribosomal RNA". It matches the Rfam family "Bacterial small subunit ribosomal RNA", at positions 29 to 507 of the family's 1533-position model. The record is from RNAcentral.